GACGAACGCUGGCGGCGUGCUUAACACAUGCAAGUCGAACGGUGACGAGGAGCUUGCUCCUCUGAUCAGUGGCGAACGGGUGAGUAACACGUGAGCAACCUGCCCCAGACUCUGGGAUAACAGUUGGAAACAGCUGCUAAUACCGGAUACGAGACGGAGAGGCAUCUCUACCGUCUGGAAAGUUUUUCGGCUGGGAUGGACUCGCGGCCUAUCAGCUAGUUGGUGAGGUAAUGGCUCACCAAGGCGACGACGGGUAGCCGGCCUGAGAGGGCGACCGGCCACACUGGGACUGAGACACGGCCCAGACUCCUACGGGAGGCAGCAGUGGGGAAUAGUUGCACAAUGGGCGAAAGCCUGAUGCAGCAACGCCGCGUGAGGGAAGACGGUUUUCGGAUUGUAAACCUCUGUCCUUGGUGAAGAACAAAUGACGGUAGCCGAGGAGGAAGCCACGGCUAACUACGUG
RNAcentral lists this ribosomal RNA (463 nucleotides) under uncultured bacterium. RNAcentral's name for it is "bacterial SSU rRNA". It matches the Rfam family "Bacterial small subunit ribosomal RNA", at positions 28 to 507 of the family's 1533-position model. The record is from RNAcentral.